This is a long non-coding RNA of Gasterosteus aculeatus aculeatus (three-spined stickleback), 885 nucleotides long. The record is from Ensembl. NCBI's taxonomy places the organism in Eukaryota, Metazoa, Chordata, Actinopteri, Perciformes, Gasterosteidae.
UACGUUAACAGCCGUGGCACCUCUCCCUUAAACUCCCGCUACGUUAACAGCCGUGGCACCUCUCCCUUAAACUCCCGGUACCUCUAUCAGCCGAUGCACCGCUCCCUUUUGUCGUUGCAUGCCUCCGUUAGGUCGUGGCAAGACUCCCUUAACUCGAGGUACCGCUGGAGGUACCUCUCUCGACCGAUGAACCGGUACCUCACUCAGCCGAGGCAACAGGCGAGGCAGUUGCCGUAAACUCGAGGCAGCUGCCACGAUUCGCCGCGGCACCGCAACCUGCAACAGGAAGUGCCUCAGCGAGUUGCCGGUGCCACAAUUUGCGCUAGCCCUCUCUCCUGCACAGAGUGGCGACAGAGUGCUCCGUGCCCCGUCCCCCUUUUGGCUCUUGGGUCCUCUCAACCGGUGGGAAUGCUCAUCAGCUGGCUGAAAUCCACCGGGGGUGAUUUAUGUGACAACACUCAGUUGAUUCGGGCGACUGCUGCUUUGCCUGCAACUUUGACGGCUGCUUUGCCUGCAACUUUGACUGCCGCUUUACUGAGUAGUUAAUCGUUUAGUUUGUAUUUCUUUUGGUUUGUUCCAUUUAUUUUCUUUUGGUUUGGGUUACGUAAAUUGUUUGGGAUUAGGAUGAUUUUUAUGUGAAUUUUCUUUUUCUGUUUUGUGUUGUAAAUUUUUGGUUUAAUCCUCUUGUAAACCUUCUUUUUUUGUCAUCCUUCCCAGCGGCUGUAGGCUGGUGGUGGCGCCGGUGGUGUCGGUGGUGGUGGUCUUCUUCGUGUGUCGUGUCCCAUUGGGUUGUUGUGCUAUCACUGGGUGAACUCUGGUUUGGUUUUCUCUAAGUUUGUUCUAUUAAUUUUCCUUCCCCUUCACCGGCGCUUCUCACCAUUAGGC